Molecule: ribosomal RNA, 497 nt
Filed under: uncultured bacterium
Lineage: Bacteria
Description: partial 16S ribosomal RNA
Rfam family: Bacterial small subunit ribosomal RNA
Source: RNAcentral
GAUGAACGCUGGCGGCGUGCCUAAUACAUGCAAGUCGAGCGAACAGACGAGGAGCUUGCUCCUCUGACGUUAGCGGCGGACGGGUGAGUAAAACGUGGAUAACCUACCUAUAAAACUGGGAUAACUUCGGGAAACCGGAGCUAAUACCGGAUAAUAUAUUGAACCGCAUGGUUCAAUAGUGAAAGACGGUUUUGCUGUCACUUAUAGAUGGAUCCGCGCCGCAUUAGCUAGUUGGUAAGGUAACGGCUUACCAAGGCAACGAUGCGUAGCCGACCUGAGAGGGUGAUCGGCCACACUGGAACUGAGACACGGUCCAGACUCCUACGGGAGGCAGCAGUAGGGAAUCUUCCGCAAUGGGCGAAAGCCUGACGGAGCAACGCCGCGUGAGUGAUGAAGGUCUUCGGAUCGUAAAACUCUGUUAUUAGGGAAGAACAAAUGUGUAAGUAACUAUGCACGUCUUGACGGUACCUAAUCAGAAAGCCACGGCUAACUACGUG